RNAcentral lists this ribosomal RNA (838 nucleotides) under uncultured archaeon. Its description in RNAcentral is "bacterial SSU rRNA". It matches the Rfam family "Archaeal small subunit ribosomal RNA", at positions 21 to 859 of the family's 1478-position model. The record is from RNAcentral.
AGGUUACUGCUAUCGGUGUUCGCCUAAGCCAUGCGAGUCAUAUGUUCGUAAGAACAUGGCGUACUGCUCAGUAACACGUGGAUAACCUGCCCUUGGGUCCGGCAUAACCCCGGGAAACUGGGGAUAAUUCCGGAUAACGCACAUAUGCUGGAAUGCUUUUUGCGUAAAAUGGAUUCGUCUGCCCAAGGAUGGGUCUGCGGCCUAUCAGGUAGUAGUGAGUGUAAUGUACCUACUAGCCUACGACGGGUACGGGUUGUGAGAGCAAGAGCCCGGAGAUGGAUUCUGAGACAUGAAUCCAGGCCCUACGGGGCGCAGCAGGCGCGAAAACUUUACAAUGCGGGAAACCGUGAUAAGGGGACACCGAGUGCCAGCAUCCUAUGCUGGCUGUCCGGGUGUGUAAAAUACACCUGUUAGCAAGGGCCGGGCAAGACCGGUGCCAGCCGCCGCGGUAACACCGGCGGCCCGAGUGGUGAUCGUGAUUAUUGGGUCUAAAGGGUCCGUAGCCGGUUUGGUCAGUCCUCCGGGAAAUCUGACAGCUCAACUGUUAGGCUAUCGGAGGAUACUGCCAGACUUGGAACCGGGAGAGGUAAGAGGUACUACAGGGGUAGGAGUGAAAUCUUGUAAUCCCUGUGGGACCACCUGUGGCGAAGGCGUCUUACCAGAACGGGUUCGACGGUGAGGGACGAAAGCUGGGGGCACGAACCGGAUUCGAUACCCGGGUAGUCCCAGCCGUAAACGAUGCUCGCUAGGUGUCAGGCAUGGCGCGACCGUGUCUGGUGCCGCAGGGAAGCCGUGAAGCGAGCCACCUGGGAAGUACGGCCGCAAGGCUGAAACUUAA